Molecule: ribosomal RNA, 254 nt
Filed under: uncultured bacterium
Lineage: Bacteria
Description: partial 16S ribosomal RNA
Rfam family: Bacterial small subunit ribosomal RNA
Source: RNAcentral
UACGUAGGCAGCAAGCGUUGUUCGGAUUUACUGGGCGUAAAGAGUAUGUAGGCGGUGUCCUAAGUUCGGUGUGAAAUCUCCAGGCUCAACCUGGAGGGGUCAUUCGAUACUGCCGUGACUAGAGUUCGGUAGAGGAGUGUGGAAUUCCUGGUGGAGCGGUGAAAUGCGCAGAGAUCAGGAGGAACACCCGUAGCGAAGGCGGCACUCUGGGCCGAUACUGACACUGAGGAGCGAAAGCGUGGGGAGCGAACAGG